Molecule: ribosomal RNA, 301 nt
Filed under: uncultured bacterium
Lineage: Bacteria
Description: partial 16S ribosomal RNA
Rfam family: Bacterial small subunit ribosomal RNA
Source: RNAcentral
CAGUAGCCGCGGGAAUACGUAGGUGGCAAGCGUUGUCCGGAAUUAUUGGGCGUAAAGGGCUCGCAGGCGGUUUCUUAAGUCUGAUGUGAAAGCCCCCGGCUCAACCGGGGAGGGUCAUUGGAAACUGGGAAACUUGAGUGCAGAAGAGGAGAGUGGAAUUCCACGUGUAGCGGUGAAAUGCGUAGAGAUGUGGAGGAACACCAGCGGCGAAGGCGACUCUCUGGUCUGUAACUGACGCUGAGGAGCGAAAGCGUGGGGAGCGAACAGGAUUAGAUACCCGCGUAGUCCCUGUCUCUUAUAC